RNAcentral lists this ribosomal RNA (274 nucleotides) under uncultured Staphylococcus sp. Its description in RNAcentral is "partial 16S ribosomal RNA". It matches the Rfam family "Bacterial small subunit ribosomal RNA", at positions 89 to 354 of the family's 1533-position model. Lineage: Bacteria; Bacillati; Bacillota; Bacilli; Caryophanales; Staphylococcaceae. The record is from RNAcentral.
ACGUUAGCGGCGGACGGGUGAGUAACACGUGGGUAACCUACCUAUAAGACUGGGAUAACUCCGGGAAACCGGGGCUAAUACCGGAUAACACAUGAAACCGCAUGGUUUCAUGAUGAAAGACGGUUUUGCUGUCACUUAUAGAUGGACCCGCGGCGUAUUAGCUAGUUGGUAAGGUAACGGCUUACCAAGGCAACGAUACGUAGCCGACCUGAGAGGGUGAUCGGCCACACUGGAACUGAGACACGGGUCCAGACUCCUACGGGAGGCAGCAGGA